GCAUUGGUAGUUCAGUGGUAGAAUUCUCGCCUCCCGUGCAGGAGACCUGAGUUCGAUUCCCAGUCAGUGCA
Transfer RNA from Loxodonta africana (African savanna elephant), 71 nucleotides. It matches the Rfam family "tRNA". Rfam says of the family: Transfer RNA (tRNA) molecules are approximately 80 nucleotides in length. Their secondary structure includes four short double-helical elements and three loops (D, anti-codon, and T loops). The record is from Rfam. Lineage: Eukaryota; Metazoa; Chordata; Mammalia; Proboscidea; Elephantidae.